This 253-nucleotide ribosomal RNA is filed under the name uncultured bacterium. Its description in RNAcentral is "partial 16S ribosomal RNA". It matches the Rfam family "Bacterial small subunit ribosomal RNA", at positions 524 to 776 of the family's 1533-position model. The record is from RNAcentral.
GACAGAGGGUGCGAACGUUGUUCGGAAUUACUGGGCGUAAAGCGCGUGUAGGCGGCAAUGCAAGUCGGGCGUGAAAUCCCACGGCUCAACCGUGGAAGUGCACUCGAAACUGCAUAGCUAGAGUCCUGGAGAGGAAGGUGGAAUGCUUGGUGUAGAGGUGAAAUUCGUAGAUAUCAAGCGGAACACCGGUGGCGAAGGCGGCCUGCUGGGCAGUUGCUGACACUGAAGCGCGACAGCGUGGGGAGCAAACAGG